AGAUUAAGUUAUUAAGGGCGCACCGUGGAUGCCUUGGCACUAGAAGCCGAUGAAGGACGUUACUAACGACGAUAUGCUUUGGGGAGCUGUAAGUAAGCUUUGAUCCAGAGAUUUCCGAAUGGGGAAACCCAGCAUGAGUUAUGUCAUGUUAUCGAUAUGUGAAUACAUAGCAUAUCAGAAGGCACACCCGGAGAACUGAAACAUCUUAGUACCCGGAGGAAGAGAAAGAAAAUUCUAUUCCCUUAGUAGCGGCGAGCGAACGGGGAGGAGCCCAAACCAACAAGCUUGCUUGUUGGGGUUGUAGGACACUCUAUACGGAGU
This 321-nucleotide ribosomal RNA is filed under the name Salmonella enterica subsp. enterica serovar Kentucky. RNAcentral's name for it is "bacterial LSU rRNA". It matches the Rfam family "Bacterial large subunit ribosomal RNA", at positions 1 to 320 of the family's 2925-position model. Lineage: Bacteria; Pseudomonadati; Pseudomonadota; Gammaproteobacteria; Enterobacterales; Enterobacteriaceae. The record is from RNAcentral.